This 267-nucleotide ribosomal RNA is filed under the name uncultured bacterium. Its description in RNAcentral is "partial 16S ribosomal RNA". It matches the Rfam family "Bacterial small subunit ribosomal RNA", at positions 91 to 354 of the family's 1533-position model. The record is from RNAcentral.
CGGACCGGCGCACGGGUGAGUAACACGUAUGCAACCUGGCCGUCACAGGUGGAUAACCGGAAGAAAUUCCGACUAAUACAGCAUAACACUCCUGAGGGACAUCCUUCGGGAGUCAAAGGAGGCAACUCCGGUGACGGAUGGGCAUGCGGCGCAUUAGGUAGUUGGUAGGGUAACGGCCUACCAAGCCGACGAUGCGUAGGGGUUCUGAGAGGAAGGUCCCCCACAUUGGAACUGAGACACGGUCCAAACUCCUACGGAAGGCAGCAG